AAUGCAUCGGAACGUGUCCUUAAGUGGGGAAUAACGCAUCGAAAGAUGUGCUAAUACCGCAUAUCUCUCAGGAGGAAAGCAGGGGAUCGCAAGACCUUGCGCUAAAGGAGCGGCCGAUGUCUGAUUAGCUAGUUGGUGGGGUAAAGGCCUACCAAGGCAACGAUCAGUAGCUGGUCUGAGAGGACGAUCAGCCACACUGGGACUGAGACACGGCCCAGACUCCUACGGGAGGCAGCAGUGGGGAAUUUUGGACAAUGGGCGAAAGCCUGAUCCAGCCAUGCCGCGUGAGUGAAGAAGGCCUUCGGGUUGUAAAGCUCUUUUAGUUGGAAAGAAAGAAUUAUAGUUAAUAGCUAUAAUUUAUGACGGUACCAACAGAAAAAGCACCGGCUAACUACGUGCCAGCAGCCGCGGUAAUACGUAGGGUGCGAGCGUUAAUCGGAAUUACUGGGCGUAAAGGGUGCGCAGGCGGCCAUGCAAGUCAGAUGUGAAAGCCCCGGGCUUAACCUGGGAAUUGCGUUUGAAACUGCAAGGCUAGAGUGCAACAGAGGGGAGUGGAAUUCCAUGUGUAGCAGUGAAAUGCGUAGAGAUGUGGAAGAACACCGAUGGCGAAGGCAGCUCCCUGGGUUGACACUGACGCUCAUGCACGAAAGC
Molecule: ribosomal RNA, 651 nt
Filed under: uncultured bacterium
Lineage: Bacteria
Description: bacterial SSU rRNA
Rfam family: Bacterial small subunit ribosomal RNA
Source: RNAcentral